AUUACUAGCUUGAAACACAGACCCAAAGACUGUCAGUCACUGGGAGGUUCUGUUAGACAAUGCAUUUUUCACGAUAGAUUACACCUUGUCGAUGGAAAUGGUUGACAACAUUACAGCUGCACACAGGAAUGCUGAAAGAGCUAUGGAAUAUUUCUGCGCUCUUUUGGAUAUCUGCAGGCAAAUCAAGGAAAAGGACACACAAGACACACCAGGUAAUAAGGUGGAAAAAUAAACUUGAACAGAAGCAUACAAGUUACAUCAGAGGGCGAGCUCCAGGCAAGAUCAACAUGAGCAAGAUCAGCAUUAUUUGAAGUUAGAUGGUCCAUUCAUCAGUCUAAUAGUGGCUCAUUGGAAAGCAUUCCUUAUGGAUCCAGACACAGAAGCUGUGGCCAUCCUUCUACCCAACUGAAGACUGCUUCAAAGAUAGUUGAGGAACACAUGCAAGCACAAGCACGGAACCAGCUGAGUCCAGCUCCAGGAGGCAACCUUUACUUCAGAGCUUGCACCAAUAGGUGCCGUCAAGAAGAUAGAGGGGUGUCACAGUCAAUCACCUUCCAGUGAAUGGUUUUCCAGAGGAGAAGAUCAGAAUGUCAUGUGAUGCUGUUCAGUGUAUCUGCAAUGUAAUACUCCUUCUACUGAGGCCAAUGAGGGUAAUAGGAUGGACCCUCAAUGUCAAGUUUCUAUGCAGAUCAUGUCUGGUACUUCAUACCAGACAGAAGAAACCAUGUAAUGCUCAGAAUCUCUGCUCUGAACAAUUGCAGGAUACACCAGAACCAAGAGAUGGAUCAUAGGGAUCUAUGGAGCCACCACAUUGCAAUGCUGAAGACCAUGUUCAGAUGGAUCAGCACCUCAGCCUCCUCCAGUGCAGCAGCAUGAGCAAAUCAAAACAAACAGGCCUUCAUGAAUCUCCUUCAAUGGAACUCUGUUGCACUGACUGCAAAUGUUUUGUUGCUGCUGAUACCAGCAUCCAGCGAAUCCUAACCCCAACCCAUAUAAUCCCAACUGUAAAUGGAGUUUAACACUUUGAUCUUUCUGACGUUCAAACUGAUUCAGAAAAGUUAAGGUUACAAAUGGAUAGAAACCUUCACAAUAUCCAAUAUUCCCUCACUCAAUCCUGACAAAAGUUUCAUGCUAGUAUGGGUGCUAUGGAAAUGUUCACUAUAAAUUCAAAAAUGGUUAGUACGCCAUGCGAGUGUGAAGGAUGUCAAUAAAAAAUACAACAGACAUCACUUAAACCUUUCAAGGUUUUUCAUAGAUCACCCCGCUGAUGUUUUAAUGAUGAUAACCAGAAAAGACCCCUAUGGAAGUGCAACCAUUUAAUCACAAAGCAACUUAGUGCCCAUGCAAUUGUGGCCUGAUCUUAUUACUGCUCUCAGUGUCACAGUGAACUUUUGACCAAUUGCACAAAUCUCUGCUUCCUGCUCGAUUGCUAACCUAGCACCAUUCCUGGGAAAUGCAACAUUAAAGUCAUUCGUCAUUACUUCCUGACAAGUGCACAACUGAACAACAGUCAUUUGCGAGGAACAGAUGUCUCCUACAUGUUGCUUUGCAUAAUAGUUUAUCAAUUUAUAAAGAUAUAAUUCAUUCAGGACAUCUUUUGUCCAGCUCAUAUAAUCAAGCACUGAUACACAUGAGAAAAAAUGUAAAAUCAAAAUCUCUGAUUUUUGCAAUUAGAAAAACCAACGUUAAUUUAACCCAAAGCCAUAUUGGAAAAAGAUGCACAGCACAUUUAAACAAGGCAUAAUGCAAAUCCUCUAAUUUUUGAUGCCUCAAAGUAUUUGAUUUGCAUAAUAAUUGGCUGAUGUUGCUCUAUGAGCUUGCUUAAUUUCUCUAUAAAUUUAAACUUCCAUUGUAAUAUCUCUAAAAUGAGCUGUGAUUUUCCACUAUCAUCACAGGUGGAGGAGACAAGUACCACACCACUGCUACAUAAAUCCCAAACACCAUCUGCUGGGGUUCUGAAGCAUUGCAAAACGUACUGUAACAGUUUUUAAAAAUCCGAUGUGGAGAUCAUCAAGUUGAUUGUGACUGCUGAACAAAAAUAGGCUAUUUGGCCCAACUAGUCUCUCCCACAGCUUUGAUUCCUUAUAAGCCUCCACUUCAUUGAACUUUACCUUUAUUUUAGUCUUACAUAGUCACUGAUAAGGCUGGCAAUUGUUGCCAUUUGCUAAUUGCUUCACUAGGCCAUUUCACAGGGCUGUUAUGAUGAAGCACGUUACUAUAAGUUUGGAAACACAUGUAACCAGGUAAAGGUGGCAGUUUUCCUUCCCUACAGGCAUUAGUGAACCAAAGAAGUUUUCAUGACAACCACCAAGGUUACAUGGUCACAAUUAGGGUUAACUCCUAAUUCUAUGCUUUUCCUUUUCUUAUUCAAUUCUAGUUUCACUAUCUGCCAUAAAGGGAUUCAAGCUCACGUUCUCAGUAUCUCACCUGGAGUUCUGGAUUAGUCAAAUGACAUUCUCACUAAGUCACUGCCAUAAUCUCUUGUGCCUUUCUCCCUCAUAUACUUACCUAGUUUUCUCUUAAAUAGAUUAGGCUGUUCGGGUAUUGGCCUUUACACAACAGAAAUUGUACUUUUGAGAAAUGUAGCUCAUCAUUCACAGGUUCAGCAAAAACUGGGGAGCUGAAAGUCUAGGACUGGAGAGUAAUUUUCGCAUAUCAUGUUUAUUGGCUGGACUAGAAUUUAGGACAGAACUUGGAUUUAUUUUCUCUGAGAUUUGGGAAUCUGUGAAAUUCUUUACCUUAGAAGGCUGUUGAGGCUGGAUUGUUAAGCAUAUUCAAGCCAGGCAUAGACAGAUUUCAAAAUAUUGAAGGGAAUCAUGAGUUAUGGGAAAUAGACAGAAAGUGGAGUUGAGGAUUCAGAUCAGACAUGAUGGGUCUUAUGCUCUUACAUCUUCUGGUGAGAAGAUACUCUGUUCCUUUCUGGCCCUGUUAGGAAUGUUGGCAUUUUUUGAAAGGAGUGAGAGAAGAGAAUGGGAUCUUUAAUACACCCACCCACUAACAGCCCAAUAUAAUUAUGACAAAUAUAUAAUACACUGCAAAACCUCAAUCGCAUCUAUAUUCAUGAACAUUGGGUGUCUGAGGGACUUUGACAGGCCAAGUUUGCAGUUCAGUGGCAGGUGAUCAGUUUUCAUUUAAAGCAUUGUGGCCUUUUCUCCUCCUAUACUUUCCUUGGAUAUCCAAAUUGUAUAGUCAAUUUAAAUCACAUGACCAUAGAAUGUCCAAUGGGCUCAGUACUUGGGUUAAGAGAUGCAGUAAGGGCCCAGUCAGUGUGAGGGAGAUAUAUGUGGUGAUAUGAUGAUUGGAGAAGGAGGCAGUUUACGUAAAGUUUAUCAAGAAUUGAAGCGUGUUGAGUAGAGUUCAGUGAAAGGCAGGUGGUGCUUUUCAGUUUUACUCUUUUUCAGCUUCCAGCAUUUGAUUUCCCAUUUUGUACAGCAGACGGAGGGAGGUAAACCAGUAACUGGUAUUGUUAGAAACUACGUUUUAUGAGCCUUGUAAAAUUUGUAGCACUGCUAAAAUAUAUUGGGGAAUGUAGGCUGUAUUAAUUAUAAAUUAAUGAAUUGACAAUUAUUAACUGACACUUAUAAGCAAUUGGGAGGCAAUGGCUUAGUGAUAUUAUAGCUAGAUUAUUAAUCCAGAAACUCAGCUAAUGUUCUGAGUAU
This is a non-coding RNA of Chiloscyllium plagiosum (whitespotted bambooshark), 3659 nucleotides long. NCBI's taxonomy places the organism in Eukaryota, Metazoa, Chordata, Chondrichthyes, Orectolobiformes, Hemiscylliidae. The record is from RefSeq and is a predicted model, not a curated record.